Molecule: long non-coding RNA, 1829 nt
Filed under: Triticum aestivum (bread wheat)
Lineage: Eukaryota; Viridiplantae; Streptophyta; Magnoliopsida; Poales; Poaceae
Description: long non-coding RNA (TAES_LNC007951)
Source: RNAcentral
CUCGAUUAUAACUAGUGUCAUUUGGAUCUUGCGCAUAGACUUUCCAUCCAAAAAAUUUAUUUUUCUGCAGGUUUUGUUAUAAAGGUAAUAUAUUGAUAUCAAGAUUUUACUUUCUGCAUAUAAUCCCAGAAGAAGUUGUGCGGCGUUUGAAAGGUGAGAUCCCAGGAGAGAUCAAGCUAGAAACCCGAAAUGGUUACAGUCAUACUAUUGUGGUUGCCAAGAACCAAGAAAAGUGUUAGAGUACGUAAUGGGCCUAAUAGACCCCGUUAGUCUUAGGGUUAAUUAGAAAUAAGGAUCGCUUGCUUAGGGGUCAAGUAAGCCUUGCUUGGGAGUCAAGUAAACCUCUCUAUAUAAAGAGAGGAGAUGUAUCAAUCUAAUGAAGCAAGAAUUAAGAAGGAAAUUCCUUCCCUCUUGCCCGGCCGUGGGCAAAAAGGCCCCCGGCCGCCCUCUCGCGCCCUCCUUCUAGCAGCCCCAUAACAAGUUGGUAUCAGCUAGUUUCGGUUCGAUCAUGUCGUCACCGCCGCAAGCCCGUCUCUUCCGCUACCGGUCACCUCAUUGCCUCCGGCGACCACCACGACCGUCACCCUGCUCCUGCCCGCGCCGGGAUCCUCCGUCGCGCCCGCCCCCGCCGUCCUCACCCCGGAGGAGGUGUUUGGCGUGCUGCGGGACCUAACCCAGGCGGUCCAGGAGAUCCACCUGUUCUUGGCCGGGUCCUACGGGCCGCUCCCGGCUGCGCCGCCCAUCGCCGGCACCGUGCCGCCGUUGCUGCCAUGGCAGCUGCCGCACCAGGCAGCCUUCGCUGCGCUCGCCGGGCCGCUGUAGCUGCCAUCCAUCGCCACCACCGCCCAACCCUGGCUGCAGUGGCAGCCGCCGCUCCUGGCGGCCUCCGCCGCGGCCAACGCUUCGCUGCCGCUGCCCGGCGCGACACCGCAGCAGCCACUGCAGCUGCAGCAGCCGCUGCAGCUGCAGCAGCCACCGCCGGCCAGCUCCGCCGCCCAGUAUGGGAUGCCCUACGACGGGACUGCGACGACCUUGUUCCCAUCAGCGCCGCCGCCAUCCUAGGGCGUCCACAUCCAGCAGAUCAAGUCCCCGCCGCCGCCGUCACCGUUUCCGUCUUGGAUCGCUACCCGCCAUGUGUCGGCUGCGGUGAGGCUGCAGGCUGCUGUGCGUGGCCUCCUAGUGCGUCGGCGUGUGCGGGAGAUGCGUGGUCUGCAGCUGCCGCUCUUCCAAGUUGCCCUUCACUGCGCAAAGGACCUUGAUCUCGUCCGCUGCGUCGGGGAUCUUGGGCAUGCUGUUUCCCCCACGGGCGGCGGGCAUGCUGUUUUCCUCGUGGGCAGCGACCUCAAAGUCUGCGACAUCGACGGUUGGGGGGCGCACCCCUCCUCGACAUUCUCCAUCGCAAGCUCUCCACUCUUCCCUGUGUGCAGUGCAGACCAACAACCAUACACAUGCACUCCUUUUGUCCAGGUGGUGUCCAUGGGAUCCAGGUGGCUGUACACGUGCACGUCCAAAAUAAAGCGUCACAGUCUAUUUCAGGUUGAGAGUAAUAACACAAGCCGAGAUGUAAAAGGCUUAUUUUUAGGUGUUAGGUUUGUGUUGCAUCGAGUCAUGGUUAUAAGUUGGUUAGGCUGCAGCUCGAGGACAAGCUGCAUGUCCAGGUGGGGUGUAGUGUUAGAGUACGUAAUGGGCCUAAUGGACCCCGUUAGUCUUAGGGUUAAUUAGAGAUAAGGGUCGCUUUGCUUAGGGGUCAAGUAAGCCUUGCUUGGGAGUCAAGUAAACCUCUCUAUAUAAAGAGAGGAGAUGUAUCAAUCUAAUGAAGCAAGAAUUAA